RNAcentral lists this transfer RNA (27 nucleotides) under Prymnesium polylepis. Its description in RNAcentral is "partial Selenocysteine transfer RNA". Lineage: Eukaryota; Haptophyta; Prymnesiales; Prymnesiaceae. The record is from RNAcentral.
AGGUCUACUGCUCGCAGGACAACCGCG